GCGUCCUUAGCUCAGUUGGUUAGAGCAUCUGACUUUUAAUCAGAGGGUCCUCGGUUCGAGCCCGAGAGGACGUACCA
This 77-nucleotide transfer RNA is filed under the name Sphingomonas sp. RNAcentral's name for it is "tRNA-Lys". It matches the Rfam family "tRNA". Rfam says of the family: Transfer RNA (tRNA) molecules are approximately 80 nucleotides in length. Their secondary structure includes four short double-helical elements and three loops (D, anti-codon, and T loops). Further hydrogen bonds mediate the characteristic L-shaped molecular structure. tRNAs have two regions of fundamental functional importance: the anti-codon, which is responsible for specific mRNA codon recognition, and the 3' end, to which the tRNAs corresponding amino acid is attached (by aminoacyl-tRNA synthetases). tRNAs cope with the degeneracy of the genetic code in two manners: having more than one tRNA (with a specific anti-codon) for a particular amino acid; and 'wobble' base-pairing, i.e. permitting non-standard base-pairing at the 3rd anti-codon position. The record is from RNAcentral. RNAcentral also lists the same sequence under 124 other names. Lineage: Bacteria; Pseudomonadati; Pseudomonadota; Alphaproteobacteria; Sphingomonadales; Sphingomonadaceae.